Molecule: ribosomal RNA, 498 nt
Filed under: uncultured bacterium
Lineage: Bacteria
Description: partial 16S ribosomal RNA
Rfam family: Bacterial small subunit ribosomal RNA
Source: RNAcentral
AUUGAACGCUGGCGGCAUGCUUUACACAUGCAAGUCGAACGGUAACAGGCCGCAAGGUGCUGACGAGUGGCGAACGGGUGAGUAAUGCAUCGGAACGUGCCCAGUCGUGGGGGAUAACGCAGCGAAAGCUGUGCUAAUACCGCAUACGAUCUAUGGAUGAAAGCGGGGGACCGUAAGGCCUCGCGCGAUUGGAGCGGCCGAUGUCAGAUUAGGUAGUUGGUGGGGUAAAGGCUCACCAAGCCAACGAUCUGUAGCUGGUCCGAGAGGACGACCAGCCACACCGGGACUGGGAACCGGCCCAGACUCCUACGGGAGGCAGCAGUGGGGAAUUUUGGACAAUGGGCGCAAGCCUGAUCCAUCAAUGCCGCGUGCAGGAAGAAGGCCUUCGGGUUGUAAACUGCUUUUGUACGGAACGAAAAGGUUUGGGUUAAUACCCUGGGCCGAUGACGGUACCGUAAGAAUAAGCACCGGCUAACUACGUGCCAGCCGCCGCCGCUG